ACGGCAGCACGGGAGCAUCCUGGUGGCGAGUGGCGAACGGGUGAGUAAUAUAUCGGAACGUGCCCAGUCGUGGGGGAUAACGUAGCGAAAGCUACGCUAAUACCGCAUACGAUCUAUGGAUGAAAGCGGGGGAUCGCAAGAGCUCGCGCGAUUGGAGCGGCCGAUAUCAGAUUAGGUUGUUGGUGGGGUAAAAGCCUACCAAGCCUGCGAUCUGUAGCUGGUCUGAGAGGACGACCAGCCACACUGGAACUGAGACACGGUCCAGACUCCUACGGGAGGCAGCAGUGGGGAAUUUUGGACAAUGGGCGCAAGCCUGAUCCAGCAAUGCCGCGUGCAGGAAGAAGGCCUUCGGGUUGUAAACUGCUUUUGUACGGAACGAAAAGGCCCUGGUUAAUACCUGGGGCUCAUGACGGUACCGUAAGAAUAAGCACCGGCUAACUACGUGCCAGCAGCCGCGGUAAUACGUAGGGUGCGAGCGUUAAUCGGAAUUACUG
This 494-nucleotide ribosomal RNA is filed under the name uncultured bacterium. RNAcentral's name for it is "bacterial SSU rRNA". It matches the Rfam family "Bacterial small subunit ribosomal RNA", at positions 66 to 556 of the family's 1533-position model. The record is from RNAcentral.